CAUUGAUCUGAAAGAAUAUCAUGAUGGUCGUAUGAUGAAUGAUAAUUUCAAUAUGUAAUAGACACCAGACGUGUGGCACCUCCAAUGCCUAUUUGGAAUAUUAGACUCAUUAUUAUAUACCUUAAUGGGAGGCAAUGAUCAAGUUAUCUCGUAACUUUAUCACUUUAUGGACCUAAUAAUUUAGAAGAUGUGCUUUCAUAGAUCUGAG
This 208-nucleotide long non-coding RNA is filed under the name Elaeis guineensis (African oil palm). RNAcentral describes it as "long non-coding RNA (EGUI_LNC066299)". The record is from RNAcentral. Lineage: Eukaryota; Viridiplantae; Streptophyta; Magnoliopsida; Arecales; Arecaceae.